RNAcentral lists this ribosomal RNA (831 nucleotides) under uncultured Actinomycetes bacterium. RNAcentral describes it as "bacterial SSU rRNA". It matches the Rfam family "Bacterial small subunit ribosomal RNA", at positions 479 to 1324 of the family's 1533-position model. Lineage: Bacteria; Bacillati; Actinomycetota; Actinomycetes. The record is from RNAcentral.
UUUUUCAGCAAGAUCGUGUCAGCAGCCGCGGUAAUACAUAGGGUGCAAGCGUUGUCCGGAAUUAUUGGGCGUAAAGAGCUCGUAGGUGGUUCGUCACGUCNGAUGUGAAACUCUGGGGCUUAACCCCAGACCUGCAUUCGGUACGGGCGAGCUUGAGUAUGGUAGGGGAGUCUGGAAUUCCUGGUGUAGCGGUGGAAUGCGCAGAUAUCAGGAGGAACACCAAUGGCGAAGGCAGGACUCUGGGCCAUUACUGACACUGAGGAGCGAAAGCGUGGGGAGCGUACAGGAUUAGAUACCCUGGUAGUCCACGCCGUAAAUGGUGGGCACUAGUUGUGGGGACCUUCCACGGUCUCUGCGACGCACUAACGCAUUAAGUGCCCCGCCUGGGGAGUACGAUCGCAAGAUUAAAACUCAAAGGAAUUGACGGGGCCCCGCACAAGCAGCGGAGCAUGCGGCUUAAUUCGACGCAACGCGAAGAACCUUACCAAGGCUUGACAUAUACNGGAAUAUGGCAGAGAUGUCAUAGCCGCAAGGUCUGUAUACAGGUGGUGCAUGGUUGUCGUCAGCUCGUGUCGUGAGAUGUUGGGUUAAGUCCCGCAACGAGCGCAACCCUCGUUCUGUGUUGCCAGCAUUUANUUGGGGACUCACAGGAGACUGCCGGGGUUAACUCGGANGAANGUGGGGGAUGACGUCNAAUCAUCAUGCCCCUUAUGUCUUGGGCUGCACGCAUGCUACAAUGGCUGGUACAAACGGCUGCNAUACCGCNGGUGGAGCGAAUCCNAUAAAGCCNGUCUCAGUUCGNAUUGGGGGUCUGCAACUCGACCCCAUGAA